AGAACUAGGCAUCCAAGCCAUGUUCCCUCAAGGUCUGCAAUCCUGAUUUCAGAUAAUGGGCAUACUCUUCUGCAUUUCUGGGACUCACCGAGGUAUCGUCAAUGAAGACAAUAACGGAGUGAUCCAGAAAUCAAUUAAAACUCUGCUUAUGAGAUCCAUGAAUGCUGUAGGGGCGUUCAUUAACCCGAACGACAUUCCUAGAAGCUCAUAGUGCCCAUAUCUGGUUCUAAACACUGCUCUCUGUACAUCUUCUUCCUUGAUCUUAACUGAUGGUACCUAGACUUCAGAUCUAUCUUGGAAAGGCAACCAGCUCCUGCUAGCUGGCUUAAAAUAGAUCGUCGAUCCAAGGUAACAAAUACUUGUUCUGGUAGUGACUUUGCUCAACGACUAGUGGUCGACACAAAGUCCUAGGGAGCCAUCCUUCAUCCUCAUAACAACACUGGAACACCCCAAGGUGAAGUGCUCAGUCAGAUGGGAACCCUUAACUACCAACUCUUACAACUGAUCCUUAUAACUCUUUUAACUCUGUUGAUACCAUCCUGUGGGGAGGGAUAGAGAUUGGUCCAAUUCCAUGCAUUACUUCUAUUUUUAAACUCUAUCUCCCUGACAGGUGGUAGUCCUGGGAACUCAUCUGGGGAAACAUCUAAACUCUCU
RNAcentral lists this long non-coding RNA (654 nucleotides) under Manihot esculenta (cassava). Its description in RNAcentral is "long non-coding RNA (MESC_LNC007073)". Lineage: Eukaryota; Viridiplantae; Streptophyta; Magnoliopsida; Malpighiales; Euphorbiaceae. The record is from RNAcentral.